AGAAAAGUUCAUAUUUACUUUCCUUUCUGAAAUAUAAGUACGAGAAUAACAAAAUCGUGCAAUAAUUAUACUGAUUGAAAGUUAUCUCAGGAAGAGAAAUCAAUUGUUUAUUACAUUUUUUUGAAGAAAAGGAAGUAUUCCAUUUUGAACAAUAAUUGAUUAGCGGAAUGAUGCAGUAAUUUCAAUAUAUUUUCCAUACAACAUUUAGAUUUAACAUUAACUCUUGGUACUCGGCAUAUCAAUUAUACUGGCAUGAAUACUUUUUCAUCGUCGUAUGGAACUACAUAUUUUUUUUCUCUAAUGUUUAUUAGCUUUUGCAGAAAGGCUAUUUAACAACUAAAAACGAGUCUUCGUUGCACUCUUAUCAUCCCCACUACAAAGAAGUUACCCUGAC
RNAcentral lists this unclassified non-coding RNA (394 nucleotides) under Bombus terrestris (buff-tailed bumblebee). RNAcentral describes it as "misc RNA ENSBTSG00005026950.1". The record is from RNAcentral. Lineage: Eukaryota; Metazoa; Arthropoda; Insecta; Hymenoptera; Apidae.